AAAUACUUUCAAAAUGGAAACAAAUUAAAAAGUUGACGAAGAGCCACCUACUUUCCAAGAAAAAUUAUUGGUGGCCGGUGAAGUUUUAGCGAAUGACAUGCACCAUCAUCAGUCCAUCACAACUUGUGAAGAUAACAAAGAUACACACAAAAUAGAUUUGCAAACUGAAAAGAGAGAACAUAUGUAGUGAAUAGGAAGAAGAAAGAAAGAAAUGUUUGAUGGGAGAAGAAAAAAUGCGGGCGAUAGCCAACCCGGAGACUGGCACCACUGCUGAGCAAAACAUAAAAUAAAAAGCAAACAGCUUCGACUGUGUAAUUAUAAUUUUUAAUAUCAAACAAAUAUUGAUAACAGGUUGUUAAUAUCAUGGUAUAUAAAAUAUAAAUUUUAAAUAAUUUUUAAAUUUUAUAUAGAUUAUUUUUAAAAUUUAAUUAAUAUUGUAAUAAGCCCAAUUGUCCAGGCUUGCAUACGAGCCCAAUACAACAAAAGUUUAAGCAACAGCAGGCCCAAUAACGGGCCCAAUAGCCAAUUUCAACCUUAGUCCAGCAAAACCAUUUGCUGAAACCCUAAGAGCCUCCAUACGCCCUAGCCUGUAACACCCCCUAACCCCAAACCGUCACCGAAACAAGGUUAUGGAGUAUUACCAGACAUAUCGGAUAACUUAUAACUAAUUCACAAUUAAAUAACAGAUAUAGCAUACUUGUAUCAAAUAUGUCAUAUUAGUUCCAUUUCAUACUUAUAACCAAUUUAAACAUCAUUCUACAACCGUAAUAACAAAACUUUUAUUCUUAACCUAUACAUCACCUAGGUACAUGCCACAUUAUCAAACAAAGGUACAUAACUAAAAUUUCUCUGAGUUCGGGAUUGCUCUGGAUACUGGACCGGAUACUGGCUUUCUACUAACCUGCGCACGGAGACAACCGCACGCUGAGUAUAGAAAUACUCAGUGGUAUUACCAUAAUUCAAAUUAAUAACAUUAAUCGAUAAAUUAUAUACAUUUAAAUUUAUGUCUACAAUUAUUCAAUACAUUUUCUCGUACUUUAAAUCAACCUGAUAAUUAAUAACAAUAAGCAAUAUUUCAAAUCUUGUAUUUAGUUGUAUUCAUACCUUAUUUCACUAUCUCAAUUCUAUUGGAUUUUUCGACAUCUCAUUCUAAUAAUUCAUUCCAAUUCAUACAAAUUCAAUCAAUUUAUCAACUCAUUCAUUAUCAUUUCUAUUUAUAAUCAAUAUGUAUUGUAAAUCUUUUAACACUCAAUUUAUUCAUUAAAUCCAUAACUAAAUUUCAAUAACUUGUAUUCAGUUAAAUUCACAUAUUAUUUCACUCUUUCAAAUUAUUUUAUUUUCACUUCUCACUUCUUAACAAUAGCUAUUUCAAUUCAUAUUCAAGAUCAUUCAAUAAAAAUUUAUAUUAUCAAAAUUAUUCAUUUACCCCUAUUAACUUGACUCAGAUCUUGGCGGAUACACGGAUCCAACCAAAACACACCAAUACGGCACAUUAUGCCUAAAACGGUACAUAUAAACUUUAUAAGACUUACCUUAACACAUUAAUGAUUCACUUUUGUCCACAGCUUAUAAUCUUAGCCCAAAUUAGAUUUUACAGAACACCCCGGAUAUACGGAACAAAUACAGAGAGCACAAAUGUGCUAAACAGAGAGCACUGCCGUGCUAUAUAUCAGAGAGCACCAACGUGCUAAUAAUCAGAGAGCACCAACGUGCUGAUAUCAGAGAGCACCAACGUGCUAAUAUCAGAGAGCGCGCUAAAGUUCCUUAAUAAGUUCCUUAAUGGCAUGCCACUAAUAUCCUGGUAGUUCUAAAUUCCAUCUACUUGGGCAUUAAAUCUGAACCUCAUUUAUUUAAAUACUUUACAAAAUUAUUUCAAAAAGGAUUUAUCAUUUCUCCGUCAUUACAAUUUACUACUUAUUCCACCAUUCACAUAUAUCACACUUAUUCACAAUUUAAUUCACUUUUAUUCCAUUCAUAUAUAUAUUUUUAAUUCAUUUUCCAAUCGAAUUCAUGUACAAUUCAAUAUCAAUAUUCAUCUUUUUUUUUUAAUACUAAACAUAUUAUUCAAAAUUCAACAAUUACUAUUAAUAAAUUCAAUACCAAUACGUAUUUAUCAUUCAAUUCAGUCGUGAUGCUUACCUCAAUUUGCUUAUCAUGUAUAUUAAUUUAAAAUUUAACAAUUAAUAAUUAAAUUCGAAUUAUAGUAAUACUAACCGAAAUUUCUCCCGAGUCAAUCCUUGUCCACCUUCUCCUUUCCUUUCUCGGACAAUGACUCGUACACGACAUUAGCUACGUAAUUAAACAAUUAAAAAUCAUUAAUACUCAGUUUCAUCAAAAUAUUUUCUUUUAUACCUAAACUUUACCCAAAUUCUAAUUUAAUCCCUUAUCAAUACUAAUUUUAUUUUUCCCAAUCUAACUCUAUAUUCUCUCUUAAUUCUUACUAUAAACUCAUUUUAACUCUUCAAUUUCACCAUAAAUCCCUAAUUUCGAAAUUCUCUCAAUUUAGUCCCUACUAUUCAAAACUUACACUUUAUUUUACAAUUAAAUCCUUUACUAACUUCUAACUUGAAAUUCAAUCAAUUUAACCCCCUAACACUUCAAUUUAUUCAACAUGAACAUCAUCUAAUAAUCUACUAACUUUCAAAAUAUCAACAUAAAUCAAGUAGUAUUUAUCUCUAGGAUUCCAAAAACUUCAAAACUAAGAGAAAAGGGAUUAAAUUGACUUACCAAAUUAACUCUGAACCUUAAAACCCCAAAUUUCUCUUUUUCUUUUUCUUUCUUUCUUUCCUUCCUUCCUUCUCUGUUUCGUUUUGCUCUCUGUUUCUUUCUUUCUCCCUUCUCUGUUUUGUUUUGCUCUCUGUUUCUU
Molecule: long non-coding RNA, 2866 nt
Filed under: Gossypium raimondii (Peruvian cotton)
Lineage: Eukaryota; Viridiplantae; Streptophyta; Magnoliopsida; Malvales; Malvaceae
Description: long non-coding RNA (GRAI_LNC004843)
Source: RNAcentral